This 492-nucleotide ribosomal RNA is filed under the name uncultured bacterium. RNAcentral describes it as "partial 16S ribosomal RNA". It matches the Rfam family "Bacterial small subunit ribosomal RNA", at positions 29 to 507 of the family's 1533-position model. The record is from RNAcentral.
AGUGAACGCUGGCGGUAGGCCUAACGCAUGCAAGUCGAACGGCAGCACAGUAAGAGCUUGCUCUUACGGGUGGCGAGUGGCGGACGGGUGAGGAAUACAUCGGAAUCUACUUUUUCGUGGGGGAUAACGUAGGGAAACUUGCGCUAAUACCGCAUACGACCUACGGGUGAAAGCAGGGGAUCUUCGGACCUUGCGCGAUUGAAUGAGCCGAUGUCGGAUUAGCUAGUUGGCGGGGUAAAGGCCCACCAAGGCGACGAUCCGUAGCUGGUCUGAGAGGAUGGUCCGCCACACUGGAACUGAGACACGGUCCAGACUCCUACGGGAGGCAGCAGUGGGGAAUAUUGGACAAUGGGCGCAAGCCUGAUCCAGCCAUACCGCGUGGGUGAAGAAGGCCUUCGGGUUGUAAAGCCCUUUUGUUGGGAAAGAAAAGCAGCAGGUUAAUACCCCGCUGUUCUGACGGUACCCAAAGAAUAAGCACCGGCUAACUUCGUG